Molecule: long non-coding RNA, 623 nt
Filed under: Marmota monax (woodchuck)
Lineage: Eukaryota; Metazoa; Chordata; Mammalia; Rodentia; Sciuridae
Source: RNAcentral
AUUUACUGUUGUAUUUCAUGAUCUUAAAUUUAAAAACUGAUUCAAUUUCAGAUUUCUAGAAAUAAAAAAUAAAUUGCUUUUUCAAUUAUUUAACUUAAUUUAAGAACAAGUAUACACAUUCAUGUGAUUCCAAAUAGAAAAGGUAAAAGAGGUUAAAAUUAUCUUUUCUACUCCUUCUGUUAGCCAGUAGCAACUAAAGCUCCUAAUUUCUCAUGAAUACUUCCAGACAUACUUUAUAUACUUAGUAGUUAAAUAUGUGUAGAUAGAUAGAUUAAUAGCCCUUGUUUUUCCCUGUUUUUACACAAAUGAUAGCAUACUUUACAAAAGCACCUUAUACUUUUUUUUAACAGUUACAUAUCUUGGCAAUUAUUCUAUAUGAGUACAGAAAGAAAUUUUUCCUUUUUUUAUGACCACAGAGUAUUACAUUGUAUAGACAGUCCAUAAUUGAUUUAAUCACACCAGUACAGAUAGGCAGUAAAAAUGCUUCUAAUUGCAUGCUAUUACAAACAAUUCUGCCUACCAUGAAUAGCCUUGCAAAGACGUCAUUUGGGGCAAUACUCUAAAGGAUAAAUUCGUAGCAUAGAUCAAAGGAUAUGUACACUUUAAAGUUCAAUGAAUAUUAC